AAGUUAGAAUAUUUCGGAGGUCUUGGAUUCAGACCAUAAAAACAGUCUCCUUGUUGAGAAGUAUAUACAUUGUAGAGGUUAGUUAAGUGGUUAGAAGUUAGUAAGUGAGUUAGUGUAUAACUGUUAACAUCUAUUAUUUUAUUCUUAAGAAGCUAGUGGUUAGUGAUGUAUAUAUAUACACAUAUACAAUACAUCCAGAAAUGAGAUUCGACAUUUUCCUCAGCCUUCUCUCUUCUUCCUCCUCUGCUUUAUCUCUGCCUCACCAAUGGCAGUGCCUCUUUAACAUGGUAUCUGAGCUCGGUUCAAGUCCGGCGAGUUUAUCAACGACGGACGAGUGAGAAGGUACAACUGAGCUAGUCGAAUCCAGAAUUGCACCAUCUUCUUCAAAUUGCAGCUGGAGAUACAUCUUCCUCUUCAAGCAAGGGUUUGUUGUUUUUGAGCAAUUUCAACAACUUUUCUGUAUUCCUGCAACAAUUUGAGUUAGUAAUUCUCUUCAAUGUACAGACCUAUGAAGUUUCUAUGGCAAUUAAUGAAAAUGAAUCUACUUCGACCAUUGUUACAUUGUCACCACCAGAUUCUCAGAACCUUAACUUAGUUCAUUACAGUCAUUCUCUAUAUAUUCAUCCUUCUUAUACUCAAGGUGUUGUUCUCAUCUCGAUUCAACUUCGAGGCUCAGAAAACUAUUCUAUUUGGAGUAGAUAAAUGAAAAUUUUAUUGCAUGGCAAAAACAAGUUAAGUUUUGUGCUAGGAACAUGUAGGAAAGAGCUAUAUUAUGAGAGUCUUCAUAAAUUCUGGGAUCGAUGUAAUACUAUUGUUUUGGCAUGGAUAAUGUAUACGGUAGCUCAAAUUUACUGGGUACUGUGAUCUAUGCCUCUAAUGCACAUAAGGUCUGGGAAGAUUAUCGUGAGAGAUUUGAUAAAGUAAAUGCUUCUAGAUCGUUCUAUCUUCACGAGGAAAUUGCAAAGCUAACUCAAAAUCUUCUAACUGUAUCUCAAUACUUCUCAAAAUUUAGAGUUAUGGGAUGACUAUGAAGCCUUAGCUCUUCCUCCUUCAUAUGGAUGCGCUGAAUCCAAGCAGCAUGUAGAACACUAUCAACUACAGAAAUUGAAUCAGUUUUUGACUAGUUUAAACGACACCUUUGAUAAUGCAAAAGAUCAGAUUUUUAUGAUCGACCACUUCCAAAUGUUAACCAAGCCUAUGCUAUGAUAAUUAAUGUUGAUAGUCAAAGGAGAAAUAAUGCAUCCCUAAGUACUGGCUUUGGUGAUUCUGCAAUAUUGAUGUCACGACCCCAACCUCGGUCGUGGCCAACACACUACUAGGAAAGCCCGACCAAUUCAACCUUAACCUUUUUUAUACAGUGCAUGAUUCAAUUAUCACAAAUAAUUACUAAGUCAUAAUACUGAAACUUUGAAAUAUAGUUAAAACAUGGGGAAACUCAAAUACUACUACACAGCCCGAAGAAUCUGGUGUCACAAGUCUGAGCCUCUAAUACACGGGUGUCAACCUACUACAUAUUGCUCUAAAGAAAUGCAAAAUUAAAGCAAAUACGUUAGGUGGGAAGAUCAGGAUUGCGGACGUCAUGCAGCUACCUUGAUGCUCUCAGAUAUGAUGCUCGGCAGAGAAAUCCUCACUCAGCCUCAGUGGGUGCACCUAGAUCUGCACACAAGGUGCAGGGAGUAAUGUGAGUACUUCCAACCCAGAGAGUAAUAAACAUAAAUAAAGGCUGAGAGUAAGAAAUCCUGGUUAGGCACAACGUAAGCUAUAAUUAUAGCAGUUCAAUCUAGAUAAUAUCAACUCAAUAAACCAAUGAAAACAAUGAUGCUACAACAGAUGAGUCAAUGAAUUACAAUCAAUUAAGAAAUGC
RNAcentral lists this long non-coding RNA (1864 nucleotides) under Nicotiana benthamiana. RNAcentral's name for it is "long non-coding RNA (NBEN_LNC031542)". Lineage: Eukaryota; Viridiplantae; Streptophyta; Magnoliopsida; Solanales; Solanaceae. The record is from RNAcentral.